RNAcentral lists this ribosomal RNA (1676 nucleotides) under Gambusia holbrooki (eastern mosquitofish). RNAcentral's name for it is "16S ribosomal RNA". It matches the Rfam family "Bacterial large subunit ribosomal RNA". The record is from RNAcentral. Lineage: Eukaryota; Metazoa; Chordata; Actinopteri; Cyprinodontiformes; Poeciliidae.
AACCCUAUAGCUAGCCCCCAACCUAAAAAAAUAUAAAUAUAUAUCUUUCCAACCCCACCACAUCAAAAACAUUUUUUCCUCCUCAGUAAAGGCGAUAGAAAGGGAAAAACAUGGAGCCAUAGAAGCAGUACCGCAAGGGAACGCUGAAAGAGAAAUGAAAGAACCCAGUAAAGUAAAAAGAAGCAGAGACCAACCCUCGUACCUUUUGCAUCAUGAUUUAGCUAGUCCUAGUCAAGCAAAAAGAAUUUUAGUUUGACACCCCGAAACUAGACGAGCUACUCCAAGGCAGCCUAAUAAAAGGGCCAAUCCGUCUCUGUGGCAAAAGAGUGGAAAGACCUUUGAGUAGAGGUGAUAAACCUACCGAGCCUAGUAAUAGCUGGUUGCCUGUGAAAUAAAUUUAAGUUUAGCCUUUAAUUAUCUCGUACCCCCGACGGCCUAACCAACAGCCCCGGCCCAAAGAUUAUUAAAGAGUUAUUCAAAGGGGGUACAGCCCCUUUGAACAAAGACACAACUUUAAUGAGAGGAUAAUAAACAUACAAAAUUAGGUAAGUGCCAAAGUGGGCCUAAAAGCAGCCACCCUUAAGAAAGCGUUAAAGCUCAGACACACCUCUUCCCACCUCAAAUCCCGAUAACAUAAUAAUACUCCCUCAACAAUACCAGGCCUUUCUAUCUUAAAUAGAAGAGAUUAUGCUAAAAUGAGUAAUAAGAGAAUACACUUCUCUCCCCGCACAUGUGUAAGCCGGCUCGGACCACCCACCGGCAAUUAACGCCCCCAAAUAAGAGGUUAAUAAGACCCAAAAAGAUAACAAGAAAUCCCCUUAAACAAAUACCGUUACCCCUACACAGGAGUGCCCCUGGGAAAGACUAAAAGGGGGAGAAGGAACUCGGCAAAUUAAACCAAAGCCUCGCCUGUUUACCAAAAACAUCGCCUUUUGAACCACCCCUAAUAAAAGGUCCUGCCUGCCCUGUGAAUUAAUUUUUAACGGCCGCGGUAUCUUGACCGUGCAAAGGUAGCGUAAUCACUUGUCUUUUAAAUGAAGACCCGUAUGAAUGGCAAAACGAGGGCUUAACUGUCUCCUCCCCCCAGUCAAUGAAAUUGAUCUCCCCGUGCAGAAGCGGGGAUAACAACAUAAGACGAGAAGACCCUAUGGAGCUUUAGACGCACUAGCAGACCAUAAAAAACAUUUUUUUCAAAAAAAUGGAACCAACUGACCCCUGCUUCAAUGUCUUUGGUUGGGGCGACCCCGGAGUAAUAAAAAACCCCCGAGCGGACUGAAGACACCCUAGCUUCAUAAUAUAGAGCCGCAGCUCACAAAACCAGAACUUCUGACCCUAAGAUCCGACACAGUCGAUCAACGGACCAAGUUACCCUAGGGAUAACAGCGCAAUCCCCUUUCAGAGCCCCUAUCGACGAGGGGGUUUACGACCUCGAUGUUGGAUCAGGACAUCCUAAUGGUGCAGCCGCUAUUAAGGGCUCGUUUGUUCAACGAUUAAAGUCCUACGUGAUCUGAGUUCAGACCGGAGUAAUCCAGGUCAGUUUCUAUCUAUGAAGUGUUUUCUUCCAGUACGAAAGGAUCGAAGAAAAAAGGCCUAUGCUUAACAACAUGCCUUACCCCUCCUUAUGAAACCAACUUAAUUAGGCAAAAGGCACACCAACCCCGCCAAAGAUAAUAGCU